This 1364-nucleotide ribosomal RNA is filed under the name Papilio demoleus (lime butterfly). RNAcentral describes it as "16S ribosomal RNA". The stretch from base 1085 to 1243 matches the Rfam family "Eukaryotic large subunit ribosomal RNA", at positions 2825 to 2984 of the family's 3401-position model. The record is from RNAcentral. Lineage: Eukaryota; Metazoa; Arthropoda; Insecta; Lepidoptera; Papilionidae.
UAAUUAAUUUGAGGGGGAAAAAUUAAUAAAUAAUAUUUUAAUAAAAAAAUUUUUAAAUUAUAUUUUAAUGGGGGUUAAAGUAUAUAUAUAGAAAAAAUUUUUAAAUUUAUAGUGAAAUAGUAUUGUAAAAGAAUUUUGAAAUAAGGGAAAAUAAUUCAAAAAAAAGUAAAUUUAAUUUAUUGUAUCUUGUGUAUCAGAGUUUAUUAAUAAAGUUUUUUAAAUAAAAAUUUCUCGAAUUUAAAAGAGUUAAUUAAUUAUAAAAGUUAAUGUUGCAUAAUUAUUUUUAAUAAUUAAUUAGAAAUGAAAUGUUAAUCGUUUUUAAAAAUAUCUAGUUUUUUUAGAAAAAAAUUUAAUUUUAAAUAUUAUAAUUUAAAAUUUUUAUUAAUAAAAAUUUUAAAAUUUAAUAUUAAAUAUUUUAAGGGAUAAGCUUUAAAAUAAAUUUUUAUAAUUAAUUUUUAAAUUAAUUAAAGUUUUAAAAUUUAAAUUGUUAAAUAAAUUAUAAUUUUUUAUAAAUAAUUUAAUUUUAAUUAAAAUUUAAUAAAAAAAAUUUAAAUUUAUAUAAAAAAAUAUAUUUUAAUUAAAUAAAAUUAAAUAUAAUGAUAAAAUUAGUAUAUAAUAUAAAAUAAAAAAAUUAAUUUAUGAAAAGUUAAUUAAAGGAAUUCGGCAAAAUUUAUAUUCACUUGUUUAUCAAAAACAUGUCUUUUUGAAAAUAAUUUAAAGUCUAAUCUGCCCACUGAUAAAUUAUUAAAGGGCUGCAGUAUUUUGACUGUACAAAGGUAGCAUAAUCAUUAGUCUCUUAAUUGGUGACUUGUAUGAAAGAUUGGAUGAGAUAUAAACUGUCUCUAAUUAAUUUAUAUAAUUUAAUUUUUUAGUUAAAAAGCUAAAAUAAAUUUAAAAGACGAGAAGACCCUAUAGAGUUUUAUAAUUUUAUAGGUUAUAAUUAUUAUAUAAAUUUUAAAAUUAUAAUUUAUGAAAUUAUUUUGUUGGGGUGAUAGAAAAAUUAAAUUAACUUUUUUUAAUAAUUAACAUUAAUUUAUGAAUAUAUGAUCCAUUUUUAGUGAUUAAAAGAAAAAAUUACCUUAGGGAUAACAGCGUAAUUUUUUUUUUUAGUUCAAAUAGGAAAAAAAGUUUGCGACCUCGAUGUUGGAUUAAGAUAAAAUUUAAAUGCAAAAGUUUAAAAUUUUGAUCUGUUCGAUCAUUAAAAUCUUACAUGAUCUGAGUUCAAACCGGUGUGAGCCAGGUUGGUUUCUAUCUUUAAAUAAGAAUGAUAUUUUAGUACGAAAGGAUCAAAUAUCAAAAAUAAUUUUAAUAAAAUGAAUAUUAAUAAAUAAUUAAUUUAACUAUUUUGGCAGAAAAAAUGUGAU